CCUUGACAUCCAGAGAACUUAGCAGAGAUGCUUUGGUGCCUUCGGGAACUCUGAGACAGGUGCUGCAUGGCUGUCGUCAGCUCGUGUUGUGAAAUGUUGGGUUAAGUCCGCAACGAGCGCAACCCUUAUCCUUUGUUGCCAGCGGUUCGGCCGGGAACUCAAAGGAGACUGCCGGUGAUAAACCGGAGGAAGGUGGGGAUGACGUCAAGUCAUCAUGGCCCUUACGGCCAGGGCUACACACGUGCUACAAUGGCGCAUACAAAGAGAAGCGACCUCGCGAGAGCAAGCGGACCUCAUAAAGUGCGUCGUAGUCCGGAUUGGAGUCUGCAACUCGACCCCAUGAAGUCGGAAUCGCUAGUAAUCGUAGAUCAGAAUGCUACGGUGAAUACGUUCCCGGGCCUUGUACACACCGCCCGUCACACCAUGGGAGUGGGUUGCAAAAGAAGUAGGUAGCUUAACCUUCGGGAGGGCGCUUACCACUUUGUGAUUCAUGACUGGGGUGAAGUCGUAACAAGGUAGGCGUAGCGAG
This 529-nucleotide ribosomal RNA is filed under the name uncultured bacterium. Its description in RNAcentral is "bacterial SSU rRNA". It matches the Rfam family "Bacterial small subunit ribosomal RNA", at positions 979 to 1509 of the family's 1533-position model. The record is from RNAcentral.